RNAcentral lists this long non-coding RNA (2231 nucleotides) under Homo sapiens (human). Its description in RNAcentral is "non-protein coding lnc-AIG1-8:2". Lineage: Eukaryota; Metazoa; Chordata; Mammalia; Primates; Hominidae. The record is from RNAcentral.
GCACAGCCCAAACACACAUGUCCCUUCCCGAUCCCCCGCCAGACGGACAGACAAACACGCAUGCAAACCGCCCCCACCCGUCUCCACGCGCCCGGGUCCAGCCGGCAGCGGCCAGAGCCGCUCUGCAGCCGGUGCACCCGCAAGGCGAGGGCGCCUCCGCCUGAACCUUCCAUCGAGACAGUCCCCUCCUUCCUCGCUUCCUUCCUUCGCUCCUUCCUUCCUUCCUUCCUUGCCCGGGAGGUAAAGGGAGUCACUGAAAUGCCCAGAGCCAGCGCCUUCGCUGCGCUCGCUCGGCCGCAGGCCGGCGGCCCGGGCCUCGCGCCGCCAGCCCGCCCGGCCGCCUGCGCCGCGCGCCGCGGCCCCCUCCCCCGCUACCUGACAACGGGCCGCCGCCGGCCGCCGCAGCCGCAGCGGUGGCCGGGCCGUGCGCGCCGGUGCACGUCGCUCAUUAGUAAGCAGGCACAUUCCUGCCUCCAGCGCUCCCGCGCGGCCCCCUCCCCCCAGGACAUUACGCAAAGCAGCCUCCCCUCAUCUGCAUAGAUCCGCGGCCAGGGUAUUCCCCGCAUUUCCCCACGCGCCCGACACCCCUCCCGCGGUCUCCCCCAUCCCCGCCCCCUCCGACCCUCACCCUCGGGCCACCGGGAAGGGGCUGGGGGCACACGCCGGGGAGCGGGGGACGGAGUUCGGCGGCGGCGAUUCCAAUAUAAAGUGAAACAAGCUCCCAGCGCCGAAGGAGGCAGGAAAAACCCAGCGUCCAGGCCACUUACCGAGCCGAGGAGGGACCUAGAUUCCCGCCGCUCCGCUCUCGCGGUGGCCGGUCCGCCCUCCGCGCACCCCGAGGCUGCACCCAGCACCCCAGACGCGAGACGUGGAGGAACGCUGUGAACGAGCCGGGAGACCCUCCAAGUUGCUCUGGGCUCCGUGGAGCGUCAAGGUCCAAGACACAACUUGGCAAAGACUUGUGCCACAGUCACCGAAGAUGUUUGUGCGGAGACCCUCCUGCGGGGAACGACGGCGCUCGGCGGCGCCCCGCUCUCCUCCUCUCCACCCCCUCACCUCCAGCCCGCCUCCCGCCGGCCGCCCGCCUCCGGGCCGCGAGCCCCUCGGGCGGCUGUCAGCUCCCGGCCGCCGCCGGGUGACAGGGGCGGGAGGAGGGCGCGACGCGGCGGCCCGAGCCCCAGCGGGCGAGGGGGAUCCUCGCAGCCGCGGCGGCCGCUCACCUGGAAAGUCACCGCUGAGGAGGAGGAGAAGGAGGACGGGGAGGAGGAGGGAGAGGAGGAGGGGGAGGAAACCCCCCUGGUGCCCUUGUUCUCGCUGCCGCGGCGGCCGCUCCUCGCCAAGGCUGAGCGUGUCUGGUGGGGGGUGUCUGGUAGCAUUUCCUUAAGGACAGAGGGAGGGCGGGCGCGGAGGGAGGGAAAAGAUCCCGACCGCCAGCCCAGGCUCCUCUUGCCUUUAUUUAUUUUUCUGACACUGUACGGAGAUGGGCCCGGGGCAGGGGCCGCCGGGCUCAGGCGGGAGCCGCGAGGCCCGGGCCGCAGCUGUCUGCGUGCGGGAGCCGCAGCGGCCGCCUCCCCUCCCGGGCUGUGGACGCACCGGGUUAUUCCUGGCAGCGCCUCCCCGAACAGAAGUUACUAGGAGGAGUGCGCGGCGAGGGCGGACGGGGGGAGAGGCGGAGGGAGGGAGGGAGGAAGAGGGAGAGACUCAGCCAACGACGUCAUCGGAUCCCCCAGCGCGUCCCAGGGAGGGAGGCUGAACCAGAAAAACCAGUCUGGAGCCAGUGAGCGAGAGAGGGAUGUGCGGCGCGCGGGGCGACGGGGGAGGGAGGCGGUCGGGAGGGCAGGGCCGGGCCCCACGGCUGCCGCUGCGGGCGGGGAGAUCGCGGCCGCGCACUCGCUCGGUCGGAGCGGGGAACUCCCCGGAGAGCUGGUCUCUACUUGUCAUGCAAAAAAACUUGGGCAUCUCUAGGAGCCUGAGAAUUUCCUUUAAGGAUGUGGAAACGUCCUCCGUCCCCACCCCUUCCCCAUUUCCCAGAGAAUCGUUGUCUGCCUUCCUGACGAACGGAAUUGUAUAAUUAGUAGUGCCCUUAGAUUUGGAACCAGUACUCCGGAUCCCUGGCCUCUCCUCGCCCCCUGCCUCUACUCACAAUUAUGUUAUCGGUCAAGAAAAGCAAAAUCAGACUGUGGCUCCCGGCUGGGUUUCUGGAGCUUUGUAGGGUUUUACUAGCACUUUCC